GACGAACGCUGGCGGCGUGCUUAACACAUGCAAGUCGAACGAUGAGAAGAGAAACGCGAACUUCGGUUCAAAUUUUACUUCGGAUUAGUGGCAGACGGGUGAGUAACGCGUGAGCAACCUACCUCUUACAAAGGGAUAGCCUCGGGAAACCGUGAUUAAUACCAUAUGACACAUUCAUAAGGCAUCUUAAGAAUGUUAAAGCUACGGCGGUAAGAGAUGGGCUCGCGUCCCAUUAGCUAGUUGGUGAGGUAACGGCCCACCAAGGCGACGAUGGGUAACCGGCCUGAGAGGGUGAACGGUCACAUUGGAACUGAGACACGGUCCAAACUCCUACGGGAGGCAGCAGUGGGGAAUAUUGCACAAUGGAGGGAACUCUGAUGCAGCGACGCCGCGUGAGCGAUGAAGGAAUUCGUUUCGUAAAGCUCUGUUCUAUGGGAAGAAAAGGACUGUACCAUAGGAGAAAGCCCCGGCUAAAUACGUG
Molecule: ribosomal RNA, 481 nt
Filed under: uncultured bacterium
Lineage: Bacteria
Description: partial 16S ribosomal RNA
Rfam family: Bacterial small subunit ribosomal RNA
Source: RNAcentral